UGUGGUAGAGGACGCGGAGAUCAAGAGUAGCGCACCUGAUGAACCUUAAUUCGUGUGAGGGUAUGUGAAAGGGUGAUCCGCCGAAGUUUGGAAGAGUUUAAGGAACUUCCAUGCUGGGAUCGUGGUCAAUAGUCACGGAACUGUCGUCAAAGGUUUUUGAUGGAGCGCUAUCGGU
Molecule: non-coding RNA, 175 nt
Filed under: uncultured Eubacterium sp.
Lineage: Bacteria; Bacillati; Bacillota; Clostridia; Eubacteriales; Eubacteriaceae
Description: Lysine riboswitch
Rfam family: Lysine riboswitch aptamer
About the family: Riboswitches are metabolite binding domains within certain messenger RNAs that serve as precision sensors for their corresponding targets. Allosteric rearrangement of mRNA structure is mediated by ligand binding, and this results in modulation of gene expression.
Source: RNAcentral